This is a long non-coding RNA of Dalotia coriaria, 1090 nucleotides long. RefSeq lists it as uncharacterized. The record is from RefSeq and is a predicted model, not a curated record. Lineage: Eukaryota; Metazoa; Arthropoda; Insecta; Coleoptera; Staphylinidae. The transcript has 16 exons.
CGACGCACUGGCUUUGCGCAUCUAUUGCUUUCUUAUCAUAAACCGUCGCGUCGUUUCUUGCACAGUUUGGAGCAAGUUUCGUGUCGGUCUCUAGUUGAUCCAGGCGUAUUUUACGCGACUCGUAAUGCUAUUUACUAUUUGCGCGUUUCUUCUCCGGUUAGUUUUGAUUGCGCUGAAAGUGUAUAUUGGCACUCACAAGGUGUCCAUUAUGAUUUAUUCAUCAUUAAGAUGGCCCAUCGUGCUGGUUAUUUACCUUGGAGUCCGAUGAGUUCUGUAUUGGGAUUUUGCUACUGAGUCUGACAUCGUAGAAGGAGCAUUCUUUCAUCAGAUUGGAUUUUGCUACUGAGUUUGACAUCGUAGGAGGAUCAUUCUUUCAUCAGAUUGGAUUUUGCUACUGAGUCUGACAUCGUAGAAGGAGCAUUCUUUCAUCAGAUUGGAUUUUGCUACUGAGUCUGACAUCGUAGAAGGAGCAUUCUUUCAUCAGAUUGGAUUUUGCUACUGAGUCUGACAUCGUAGAAGGAGCAUUCUUUCAUCAGAUUGGAUUUUGCUACUGAGUCUGACAUCGUAGAAGGAGCAUUCUUUCAUCAGAUUGGAUUUUGCUACUGAGUCUGACAUCGUAGAAGGACUAUUCUUUCAUCAGAUUGGAUUUUGCUACUGAGUCUGACAUCGUAGAAGGAGCAUUCUUUCAUCAGAUUGGAUUUUGCUACUGAGUCUGACAUCGUAGAAGGAGCAUUCUUUCAUCAGAUUGGAUUUUGCUACUGAGUCUGACAUCGUAGAAGGAGCAUUCUUUCAUCAGAUUGGAUUUUGCUACUGAGUCUGACAUCGUAGAAGGAGCAUUCUUUCAUCAGAUUGGAUUUUGCUACUGAGUCUGACAUCGUAGAAGGAGCAUUCUUUCAUCAGAUUGGAUUUUGCUACUGAGUCUGACAUCGUAGAAGGAGCAUUCUUUCAUCAGAUUGGAUUUUGCACCUGAGUUUGACAUCAUAGAAGGACCAUUUUUGUAUAUUUUAAAUAACUUUUGGGAUUAUUAUACAAAUUGAUUUCUAAAAUUUAUGCUUGUGCGUUUUCUUUAAUAAAGAGUAUUUUUAAGUUU